GAUGAACGCUGGCGGCGUGCCUAAUACAUGCAAGUCGAGCGAACAGAUGAGGAGCUUGCUCCUCUGACGUUAGCGGCGGACGGGUGAGUAACACGUGGAUAACCUACCUAUAAGACUGGGAUAACUUCGGGAAACCGGAGCUAAUACCGGAUAAUAUAUUGAACCGCAUGGUUCAAUAGUGAAAGACGGUUUUGCUGUCACUUAUAGAUGGAUCCGCGCCGCAUUAGCUAGUUGGUAAGGUAACGGCUUACCAAGGCAACGAUGCGUAGCCGACCUGAGAGGGUGAUCGGCCACCCUGGAACUGAGACACGGUCCAGACUCCUACGGGAGGCAGCAAUAGGGAAUCUUCCGCAAUGGGCGAAAGCCUGACGGAGCAACGCCGCGUGAGUGAUGAAGGUCUUCGGAUCGUAAAACUCUGUUAUUAGGGAAGAACAAAUGUGUAAGUAACUAUGCACGUCUUGACGGUACCUAAUUAGAAAGCCACGGCUAACUACGUG
Molecule: ribosomal RNA, 497 nt
Filed under: uncultured bacterium
Lineage: Bacteria
Description: partial 16S ribosomal RNA
Rfam family: Bacterial small subunit ribosomal RNA
Source: RNAcentral